CCCCCCGCCUCCCGCUUGCUCCCGGCGUCUCUGCCUCCUCUCUCGCUCCUGCCACUACCGCAUGCUUGCCUGCCGUCACCAGGCGCGCCCCAUGGUCUCUCCCUCCAGUCUGCAAUGGCCGUUUUCGAAGUCACCCGCGUCCGCGUGGCGGGUGAUAGAUAGCGUCCUCAGCCUCCGCCAUCGGAGGUUCCCACGGAUUAACCGGGUGACCGGGACCCUAGCGGCGCGGAGACGGAGAGGCGCCAAAGCCGUUGUCCGCGCCUCGUCUGGAUGUUCUUCGAUCACUGUCGUCGUACCGCUGCUUCCGUCUUUUCCUCGGCGAGUUAAGCAGCAGCCCGUUCGUCCAGGUCCAAUUAGUUGCCUUCGCCGUGAGAGCAUGAACACGAGUCGUGCUCCUUCCUUCCUUCAUUCCUUUUCUUUUUACCGAUCAAUUGGGGAUGAAAGAAUGGCACCAGGAAGGCAGGAAGUCGGGGGCCAUGCGUGCUGAAUGUUGGAUAAGAGAACUUCAUUUGGCAGGAGUCAUUUGAAUCCAAGGCCAAGGAACAUGACUAGUGGAGCUAUGCAUUUUGAUGAGGCGAGAACCAAUUUCUUUCUUCUUUCCUAGUUUUGAUCAACAUAUAUGACCUUAAAGGCUGCUACAUGGCAUCGACAAGAGUACUAAAACUACAAAACUAAUGAUGGCCGUAUAUGUGGUGAGUUCAUUUCUUGCUAAUCCUUUUCUUUUAGCAAAUCUCUUGUUUGUUCACCGGAUUUUGUUGGUCUAUCUAGGUGCGUAGUCAGUGCUAGCGAGACCAGAUUAAUAAAUCCUAUGGUUUAGGUGGAUAAUCUGUUGUGGGACACAUAUGUUGGACUAAUUAACAAUGCAACUGAAGGAGUAUUCAACUUAAUCUUGGCCCAUAUAGAUUGUGGCAGCUAGGUAGGGCAAUGAUGAUCUGCGCCUCAUUUGAAUUGGUUUAGACCAGCUGGUUGUCCCUCUUGUUGUACCAUGUGCAUAAGUUGACAUGCAGCUUACGUAGACAUCAAGCAAACAGUUGGUGGCUGCUUGUGUCCCCAAUUAUUCUUGUGUAUGCAUGUAAAUAGUCUAGUUCUUUGGUUGGCCUUAGCUUCUAGACUCCAAUCUCUUUCUUAUUAGCGCACACGGUGUGUCCUCCAUCUUAGCUAUUACCCUAACUGGAUCAUGCAUUGUGCCAUAAUUCAGUCAUCCGAGUCACUUUAUUAUUUUUUAUUUUUUUUUGUAAAAGUCACAAGAAAUGUAAGUAAUAGUAUGAAAGUAUAAUUCAUGACAAAUCUGCCAGUAGCAUUGUGAACUUGUUAAAUGCUAUCAACUUUGUGUGAGCAAAGUUUUCGAGUGGUCUGUCUGAGUCUUAAAUAAAAAAACGCGACGUAGCUGCAUCGACGGUAGCCGUGGAAAAGAUUGGGAGAAAUUUCUUUCGGAAUUCGGUCUUAUUUCCUGGUCAAACUCUGGCAGAACCCCAUCAAUCGCGGCUGCUGAUUCCACUGGAGUUGAGAGGGUCCAACUAACCCAAAUUGCUGACUCAAAACACUUUGACUUUUUCUCUCUUGUCCUGCAUUGAGCAGAAAAAUAAAAAAAAUGGGUACUCGGCGUCGAUGAUGACUUCUUUAGACUUGGAUCAAGCCCUAGGCACACCACUACCCAUGCAUAGAAUAGUAGUAUAAAAA
This is a long non-coding RNA of Setaria italica (foxtail millet), 1680 nucleotides long. RefSeq lists it as uncharacterized. The transcript is spliced from 3 exons. Lineage: Eukaryota; Viridiplantae; Streptophyta; Magnoliopsida; Poales; Poaceae. The record is from RefSeq and is a predicted model, not a curated record.